UACGUAGGGUGCAAGCGUUGUCCGGAAUUAUUGGGCGUAAAGAGCUCGUAGGCGGUUUGUUGCGUUGGCUGUGAAAUCCCGAGGCUCAACCUCGGGUCUGCAGUCGAUACGAGCAAACUAGAGUGUUGCAGGGGAGACUGGAAUUCCUGGUGUAGCGGUGAAAUGCGCAGAUAUCAGGAGGAACACCGGUGGCGAAGGCGGGUCUCUGGGCAACAACUGACGCUGAGGAGCGAAAGCGUGGGGAGCGAACAGG
Molecule: ribosomal RNA, 253 nt
Filed under: uncultured bacterium
Lineage: Bacteria
Description: partial 16S ribosomal RNA
Rfam family: Bacterial small subunit ribosomal RNA
Source: RNAcentral